Molecule: long non-coding RNA, 245 nt
Filed under: Lathyrus oleraceus (garden pea)
Lineage: Eukaryota; Viridiplantae; Streptophyta; Magnoliopsida; Fabales; Fabaceae
Description: Pisum sativum (pea) long non-coding RNA (PSAT_LNC013838)
Source: RNAcentral
UUUUUUCCUUUGCUCUAUGGUUUCAAGGGUGAUUUCUUUUUCUUGUUACUUUUCAUAUUUUUACCCUUUCAUAAAAACUCACUUUUCCAAGUUUCUAAUCAACUUUUCACUUUACUCUCCCCAACUUUAGAUUCCAAAACCAAAUUUAUUCAAUAAUGUUCCCUACUUAGACAUAAGCAAAAGGCAAAAUUUUGCAAACAACUCGAUUUGAGGUUUCAACUGAUACAAAAGAAAUUAGGAUUCAU